RNAcentral lists this long non-coding RNA (1089 nucleotides) under Piliocolobus tephrosceles (Ugandan red Colobus). RNAcentral describes it as "lncRNA (ENSPTEG00000007303.1)". The record is from RNAcentral. Lineage: Eukaryota; Metazoa; Chordata; Mammalia; Primates; Cercopithecidae.
AUGAACCAUUCAGAUUAUUCUGGGUAUAAUAGUGAUGGUAAUAUCAACCUUACUGAUAAUGAAUAUAUUACUAGUGAAGGGCAUACAAAAAAUAAUGAUUAUGAAGAAGAUAUUUUUUCUAUUUCAACAUCUUCAGUUAUUUUUCGUCACUCUUUUAUGCAAGCUACAAAAAGAGAUAUUAGUCAACCUUACAAUGAAUCAGAAAAAGGAAAUAAUAAAAAUGAUAAAAAUGAUAAAAAUAAUAAAAAUGAUAAAAAUGAUAAAAGUGAUAAAAAUGAUAAAAAUGAUAAAAAUGAUAAAAGUGAUAAAAAUGAUAAAAAUGAUGAAAAAAAAAAAAUGUUUAUAAAUAAAAAUAACAAAUGUAUAAAACAAGAUCAAGUAUUAUAUGAUGCCCUUUUUAAGGAAGAUAAUGCAGGUGUUGUUGAUGAUGAUGAUGAUGGAGAUGGUAAUGGAGAUGGUAAUGGAGAUGGUAAUAAAUCGGAUAAAAAAAAAAAAAAAAAUGAAUAUAAACAUAUAGGAAUUGAAAUAGGAAGUGAUGAAAGUGAUGAUAUGGUGAUUAGUAGCAAUACUAAUGAAAGUAGUAACAAUGAAUACUAUGAUAAAAAUGUUCAUGAUAAAAAUAAUCAUAAAAAAAAAAAUGACAAAAAUGGCAGUAAAAACAGUAACAAAUAUGAUAAUAAAAUCGACUUACUGAAUAAAAAAGAAAAUGGAACAAAAAAAAAAAAUGCCUCAUGUAUUUGUAAAGAUCUUGAAAAAUAUAAAAUGCAAACUUUAAUAAAAAACGAGCUAACUAAUCAGUCUAAUAACUUUUCUGAUUUAUCAAAUUAUAAUAAUUACUUGCAAGAAUUGAAUAAAAUUAUUAUCGCCAGUAAUAAUGAUAAUAUCAGUUACAAUAGCAACAACGGAAACGGAAAAGGAGACGGUAACGACUGUAACGAAGUUAACAACAUCGUGUACAAUAAUAAUAUGAUUUUGGCUGAUGACAUAGAUCUCGGCAAAUUUUCUAAAGAAAUCGAUUGUUAUAUGCAACAUAUAUAUAAUAAUCAAAUUAAGCAUUUAAACAAUAUAGUGACAAAUAUUUUUUCUUAA